GGAGGGAACUGAGUGAGAAACAGAGAGAGAAUUCAGAAGGGAGGGAGGAGAAUGCCUCUCCGUGAGCAACCACCUAGGAGUUGAUUUGAGCCAAAGGACUGCUACUAAUCCUUCUCUCUUCCUGGCCCUUUCUGGCCUGUGGAUAGUUGGAUUUAUAUUUCACUCUACCCCUGAAGUGGAAUUUACAGUGUCAUCCACUCCCUUCUAAGAGGACUGUGUGACAAUCUAAUGAGAACAUGUUCCCAGAAGAGCUGUACCGAGGGGAUUCCGCUCUGGGCCAUUGCUCAAGGUGAAGUUCCACAUCCCUGUCACCAUUCAUUGUGACAGAACCACUGUGUCUCCCAAGAAUGGCUUCAUGAACUUUGGGUUAUAGUUACAAAGUAAUGGGAGUUGAGUAACAACUUGAAGUCACUGAUUUCCCAAGGGAGGCAACAGGACCGUAUUGGAGCUUCGUGGCGCAUUUUAAAGUUAUCAUGGUUAAUCUUGAUCUACAAUCACCCAGGAAAGGGACAGACCAGCAGGACUCCGGCAUGCCUGUGGGGGGUUACGUCGAUGGGACUGAGAUGAGAAGAACUGCCCACUAUGGGCACCACCAUUCUGUAUAAGGGAAGAAAGGGAACUGAGGACAGGCAGCCAUCCCUGCUUCCGGACGACCGGCACGCUGUGAGCACAUCCCUCAGCGCCUGCAGCCAUUCCCUCCCCACUGUGUCAGACUGGACCCCGGUAUUAUGUUUCUGUUAGAGUGCAUCAUCGCAGAAACAGAAAAAUAAGACAGAUGCCCAAGCACAAGAGCCUCUGUGUGCAGAAACCCCAUUUUAACUUGCCUGACCCUGCAGGCUUAGUCAUGUCCCCCCCGAGAGCUCCUGUUCCCCGAAAAUUACUUGGGAAAUUAUUUUUCCAAAUUCUCUCUGAGCUUUAAAAUUUGGUAGCUGACAUUUUCGCUGAUAAAUGUUCUAUACCUUCAA
Meriones unguiculatus (Mongolian gerbil) is the source of this 965-nucleotide long non-coding RNA. RefSeq lists it as uncharacterized. The record is from RefSeq and is a predicted model, not a curated record. The transcript has 3 exons. NCBI's taxonomy places the organism in Eukaryota, Metazoa, Chordata, Mammalia, Rodentia, Muridae.